AUACUUACCUGGCAGAGGCGAUACCCUGAUCAUGAAGGAGGUUCACCCAGAGGGAGGCUUGACCUUUGCACCACCGCCUGUGAUGACCUUUGCGAAUCUCCCCAAAUGUGGGAAUCUCAACUGCGAGUUC
RNAcentral lists this small nuclear RNA (130 nucleotides) under Cyprinodon variegatus (sheepshead minnow). Its description in RNAcentral is "U1 spliceosomal RNA (ENSCVAG00000011076.1)". It matches the Rfam family "U1 spliceosomal RNA". From Rfam's summary of the family: U1 is a small nuclear RNA (snRNA) component of the spliceosome (involved in pre-mRNA splicing). Its 5' end forms complementary base pairs with the 5' splice junction, thus defining the 5' donor site of an intron. Lineage: Eukaryota; Metazoa; Chordata; Actinopteri; Cyprinodontiformes; Cyprinodontidae. The record is from Rfam by way of RNAcentral.